ACUUACGGCCAUACCAUCCUGAAUACGCCUGAUCUCGUCUGAUUUCGGAAGCUAAGCAAGGUCGGGCCUGGUUACUGCUUGAAUGGGAGACAGCCUGGGAAUACCAGGUGCUGUAAGUG
RNAcentral lists this ribosomal RNA (119 nucleotides) under Hucho hucho (huchen). Lineage: Eukaryota; Metazoa; Chordata; Actinopteri; Salmoniformes; Salmonidae. The record is from RNAcentral.